Molecule: long non-coding RNA, 2587 nt
Organism: Lolium rigidum
Lineage: Eukaryota; Viridiplantae; Streptophyta; Magnoliopsida; Poales; Poaceae
Exons: 6
Source: RefSeq, a predicted model, not a curated record
CGCCGUCGCCGAAGUCGCCGCGGCCGCAUCCAAGCUCCGCGGCCCCGACCAGCGCCGCUGGUUCGCCCGCCAGAUCAUGCUCCCGGAGUGGAUGGUCGACGCCCCUCCCCACCUCGCCCGCGACUGGUUGUUCUUGCACUCAGCGACAGCUAGAGUCGCUUUGAUGAGAAGUUGAGGGCGCAGGUACAAGGCAGCAGUAGUAGCAGCUUAGCCUCCAUCAGUGGCGGCAGCAGUACAACACCCUCCUAAUGUUGUAGCAAGUCACGGUGGCGGCGGCGGCCCAUGUCCCAGUGUUUGUUGAGUGCAAAGGACAGCGAUUACAUUGGUACUCAAGAACGCAGAGGAAAACGGCCACCCCACCACCCAAAGUGGCCGGAAGGAACGAGUUCCCCUUCAUCCUCGGCGGCAAAGAGGGUGUUGGCUUGGUGCUAGAGGCUCAUGAACCGGCAAUGUUUUGCGGAUGGUCUGAGACGUGAAAUUUGGUUGGAAGUGGCCUGUUGUGGAUAUGCUCGAUGGAGCAGAUCGUGCUUUUUUAGACAGCAUUGCUGUUACUUCCGUGGGGCUAUUUGCACUGCAUACAGAUGAUUCUACAGUCUGUUAGUUCUUAUCGAGUUAUUGUCCUCCUGGUUUGUCUGAUGUCUCUGCAAGUUUUUUCUUUCUGAAAUUGGUGCUUUCUUAUCUCCAUAAUGCACAUAGGGAGCAGGUAUGUGAACCACGCUUAAAAAAGUUUGGCAUCGUACGAGCUGAUGCACAUGUAUUUGCCAGGCCUUCUACAUGAAGGAAGCUAUACGGCCAAGCUUCUUCUUGAAUAAUUGCUCACAUGUGUGUUUUUCACCACCACAAUGAAAAGUAUUACACUCAGCAGCAGCAGGAGGAAAAGAUAAUUGCUCCAGCCUCUGGACAGUGAUUAGAAUUAGGAAGCUGAAUGUUCCUAUGAUCCCUGCGAGGAUUUUCAUAAUUUAGUUUAUACUUAAAUAGAAAUAACAUCGAGAAAAAACAUGCUGAAUGUUCCUUAUUGCAGGUCAUCGAUAGAUCACUCUAUGCAUUUCAGAGACCGCUGGAUUUAGGUUAAUAACACCAAUUAAGUAAUUCACUAUAUUAUCUUGAGUAACUACAUGACUUUAUAUAUUCAUAUCAUUUUUUGUUUGAAAACUUUUUGAACAGCGCUAUUUGAAUUCCAAGUUUAGUUUGUAGCUUGCUGUUCCUCUUUCGUCUUUGCAGGCGGCCGGUUGACCCUCCUCAUGUUUUAUGUCUCUGUUUUACCCAGUUUAUUGGUUCAUUAUGCUAUAGCCUCAUAGGUUUAAUUUAAGCUUGCCAUUGCUCAACUCUAAUCUCACAUAAAAAACCUUAAAUCCUUUUAAGACUGCAGCAUAUAGCUUCAGAGUUUACAGGGAUCUUAAUAGACAUAUUUGGUGGACUGAGGUAGAACCGUACAAGCAGCGUCCUUAUAGUUGUUAGACAUGUAUACAUGUAUGUCCUUCUACAUCUACUUUUGGCAUUACAUUUUCUCACUCGAUAUACUGAAAGGGAGUCUAAAAAAUAUUAGCCAACAGCUACCAAACAACCGUUUCAACAAAAUAGGAACCCAAUUGCCAAGUGUUGAUUUCAUUUCUAUGCAUAUAAAGACUGUUUUAGACAAAUACUUGAUUAACCAGGUUCCGAGGAAGGGCUGCUUAGGUACCAUGUAUUUCUAUCCACUCGGAGUGUUGCAAAGUAGAGUCAUCCUCUAUACAACAUUUAGGUUGAACUCAAGAUGACGUAAAUUCAACUUUUCAAUUGUAAAUUCAUUAAUGCUUUUUCCGAAUAAGUGUAGCCUAACAAUUGUUGUCUUCUAAAAUAAAUUGCAGAUUGUUCAUUCCAUCAGUAUACAAAACCAACUUACUCAAGUUAGCUUCAUGCCCAUGCCCAUGCAACUGCAAAUCUGUUUUAUGUUUUUGUGAAAUUAUAGUAGUAACAACAGUUACCUUCCUGAGUUUUUUUUUCCUCGUCGAGUUUAUAAAUUGAACUUCUGCAUCUUCUCUAGAUCAUAAUUAUUCGGAACAAAAAUCUGGUCCAAGAGGGGAGUCAAGAGAGCGUUGAUUACCUGAGAUCAGCCAAUAUCGCCGGAGCCAAGAAUAUUGCCACCAGUAAUUGAUUGUUAAACACAUGGUCCAUUCGUCUCCUUUGGUAAAUGAGAUGCGCGCUGGUGCCUGUUCAUGCUUUGAGACGACGAGUGCGAGGGCGUCGAUGCACGCAGCAUGGGCGCUGAUGUGGGCUAACACGGCAGAGGCAAGGUACAAGAGCUUUCCGGCGAAUCUAGGACCACGAGCAGGUAGUGCACGAGAGUGGAGGCUAUUUGACAAAUAUCGGCACAGGAACUCUGCCCUUGCUACUGCCGUCACCGUGUCCAUCUCUACAGAGGAUCAACUAGUGAAGGCAACUAGCUAGUUCAGAUUAUCAAGUAACUUGUUCUAGUGGAAUGUUCUACAGUGUUCUAAAUUAUCAAGUAGUUUGGAUUAUCACCUAGUUUGGCUUUAAAGUUUUGUGUGAUGGUUUGUAGGAAUUUAAGUGUUUGAAUUAUCUGUUUUUAUUACCAGAUGUUUAUGCA